Molecule: ribosomal RNA, 2218 nt
Filed under: Streptococcus pneumoniae 5652-06
Lineage: Bacteria; Bacillati; Bacillota; Bacilli; Lactobacillales; Streptococcaceae
Description: bacterial LSU rRNA
Rfam family: Bacterial large subunit ribosomal RNA
Source: RNAcentral
AGGGCGCACGGUGGAUGCCUUGGCACUAGGAGCCGACGAAGGACGUGACAAACGACGAUAUACCUUGGGUAGCUGUAAGUAAGCGAUGAUCCAGGGAUUUCCGAAUGGGGGAACCCAACAGGUAAUACCUGUUACCCACAUCUGUUAAGGAUGUGAGGAGGAAGACGCAGUGAACUGAAACAUCUAAGUAGCUGCAGGAAGAGAAAGCAAAAGCGAUUGCCUUAGUAGCGGCGAGCGAAACGGCAGAAGGGCAAACCGAAGAGUUUACUCUUCGGGGUUGUAGGACUGCAAUGUGGACUCAAAGAUUAUAGAAGAAUGAUUUGGGAAGAUCAGCCAAAGAGAGUAAUAGCCUCGUAUUUAAAAUAGUCUUUGUACCUAGCAGUAUCCUGAGUACGGCGGGACACGUGAAAUCCCGUCGGAAUCUGGGAGGACCAUCUCCCAACCCUAAAUACUCCCUAGUGACCGAUAGUGAACCAGUACCGUGAGGGAAAGGUGAAAAGCACCCCGGGAGGGGAGUGAAAUAGAACCUGAAACCGUGUGCCUACAACAAGUUCGAGCCCGUUAAUGGGUGAGAGCGUGCCCUUUGUAGAAUGAACCGGCGAGUUACGUUAUGAUGCGAGGUUAAGUUGAAGAGACGGAGCCGUAGGGAAACCGAGUCUGAACAGGGCGAAUUAGUAUCAUGACGUAGACCCGAAACCAUGUGACCUACCCAUGAGCAGGUUGAAGGUGCGGUAAGACGCACUGGAGGACCGAACCAGGGCACGUUGAAAAGUGCUUGGAUGACUUGUGGGUAGCGGAGAAAUUCCAAACGAACUUGGAGAUAGCUGGUUCUCUCCGAAAUAGCUUUAGGGCUAGCGUCGACAUUAGAGAUUCUUGGAGGUAGAGCACUGUUUGGGUGAGGGGUCCAUCCCGGAUUACCAAUCUCAGAUAAACUCCGAAUGCCAAUGAAUUAUGGUCGGCAGUCAGACUGCGAGUGCUAAGAUCCGUAGUCGAAAGGGAAACAGCCCAGACCACCAGCUAAGGUCCCAAAAUAAUUGUUAAGUGGAAAAGGAUGUGGGGUUGCACAGACAACUAGGAUGUUAGCUUAGAAGCAGCUAUUCAUUCAAAGAGUGCGUAAUAGCUCACUAGUCGAGUGACCCUGCGCCGAAAAUGUACCGGGGCUAAAACAAUUUACCGAAGCUGUGGAUACCUUUAUAGGUAUGGUAGGAGAGCGUUCUAUGUGUGAUGAAGGUAUACCGUGAGGAGUGCUGGAACGCAUAGAAGUGAGAAUGCCGGUAUGAGUAGCGAAAGACAGGUGAGAAUCCUGUCCACCGUAAGACUAAGGUUUCCAGGGGAAGGCUCGUCCGCCCUGGGUUAGUCGGGACCUAAGGAGAGACCGAAAGGUGUAUCCGAUGGACAACAGGUUGAUAUUCCUGUACUAGAGUAUGUAGUGAUGGAGGGACGCAGUAGGCUAACUAAAGCAGACGAUUGGAAGAGUCUGUCUAAGCAGUGAGGUGUGAAUUGAGUCAAAUGCUUAAUUCUAUAACAUUGAGCUGUGAUGGGGAGCGAAGUUUAGUAGCGAAGUUAGUGACGUCACACUGCCAAGAAAAGCUUCUAGCGUUUAAACAUACUCUACCCGUACCGCAAACCGACACAGGUAGUCGAGGCGAGUAGCCUCAGGUGAGCGAGAGAACUCUCGUUAAGGAACUCGGCAAAAUGACCCCGUAACUUCGGGAGAAGGGGUGCUGACUUUAGGUCAGCCGCAGUGAAUAGGCCCAAGCAACUGUUUAUCAAAAACACAGCUCUCUGCUAAAUCGUAAGAUGAUGUAUAGGGGGUGACGCCUGCCCGGUGCUGGAAGGUUAAGAGGAGUGCUUAGCGUAAGCGAAGGUAUGAAUUGAAGCCCCAGUAAACGGCGGCCGUAACUAUAACGGUCCUAAGGUAGCGAAAUUCCUUGUCGGGUAAGUUCCGACCCGCACGAAAGGCGUAAUGAUUUGGGCACUGUCUCAACGAGAGACUCGGUGAAAUUUUAGUACCUGUGAAGAUGCAGGUUACCCGCGACAGGACGGAAAGACCCCAUGGAGCUUUACUGCAGUUUGAUAUUGAGUGUCUGUACCACAUGUACAGGAUAGGUAGGAGUCUAAGAGAUCGGGACGCCAGUUUCGAAGGAGACGCUGUUGGGAUACUACCCUUGUGUUAUGGCCACUCUAACCCAGAUAGGUGAUCCCUAUCGGAGACAGU